Molecule: ribosomal RNA, 389 nt
Filed under: Phaeocystis sp.
Lineage: Eukaryota; Haptophyta; Phaeocystales; Phaeocystaceae
Description: partial small subunit ribosomal RNA
Rfam family: Eukaryotic small subunit ribosomal RNA
Source: RNAcentral
AUUCCAGCUCCAAUAGCGUAUAUUAAAGUUGUUGCAGUUAAAAAGCUCGUAGUCGGAUUUCGGGGCCUGCCGAGCGGUCUGCCGAUGGGUAUGCACUGUUCGGCGCGUCCUUCUUUCCGGAGACUAAUUCUACUCUUAACUGAGCGGAAUUGGGAGACGGAUCGUUUACUUUGAAAAAAUCAGAGUGUUUCAAGCAGGCAGCUCGCUCUUGCAUGGAUUAGCAUGGGAUAAUGAAAUAGGACUCUGGUGCUAUUUUGUUGGUUUCGAACACCGGAGUAAUGAUUAACAGGGACAGUCGGGGGCAUUUGUAUUCAAACGACAGAGGUGAAAUUCUUGGACCGUUUGAAGACAAACUACUGCGAAAGCAUUUGCCAAGAAUGUUUUCAUCA